RNAcentral lists this ribosomal RNA (780 nucleotides) under uncultured Neocallimastigales. Its description in RNAcentral is "partial large subunit ribosomal RNA". It matches the Rfam family "Eukaryotic large subunit ribosomal RNA", at positions 23 to 647 of the family's 3401-position model. The record is from RNAcentral. Lineage: Eukaryota; Fungi; Neocallimastigomycota; Neocallimastigomycetes; Neocallimastigales.
AGAGAUGUGUGAUGACGCAUAUCAAUAAGCGGAGGAAAAGAAACUAACAAGGAUUCCCUUAGUAACGGCGAGUGGAGCGGGAAGAGCUCAAAUUUGAAAUCUUCAAGGUUCUACCUUGACGAAUUGUAGUUUAUAGAAGUGUUUUCUGUUAGUAGGAGUGGCAAAAGUUCUUUGGAAUAGGACAUCAUAGAGGGUGAGAAUCCCGUAUUUGGUCAUUCCUUCCUAGCGUUGUGAUACACUUUCAACGAGUCGGAUUGUAUUGGGAAUGCAGUCCAAAAUGGGUGGUAAACUUCAUCUAAAGCUAAAUAUUGGCGAGAGACCGAUAGCGAACAAGUACCGUGAGGGAAAGAUGAAAAGAACUUUGAAAAGAGAGUUAAACAGUACGUGAAAUUGUCAAAAGGGAAGCGUUUGACACCAGUGUUGUUUUUCCGAAAAGUCAAUUACGAAUGUUUUGUUUUUGAGGAGUUAUGACUCCAUCGGCUUGCUUCUCUCUUUACGAAACUUUCUUAAUGCACUUUUCGGUUAACAAGUCAACAUCAAUUUCUUUUGUUGUAAAAGGGUAUGAGGAAGGUGGCUUUCUUUUCGGAGAAAGUGUUUAUAGCCUUGUAGCCUCUGCAAUCGGAUGAGAUUGAGGUCUGCAGCGUAGAUCCUUCGGGGUUAGAUACAUUUGUGCUAAGUUAUAGCUUUUCAUAGACAACUUGUUGACUAUGUUAAGUCUUGUAGCUUACUCGCUUAUGCUAUUUUACCUACGCUUAGGAUGUUGAUCUGUAGUGCGUGCGC